GUCGGCAUGAAGUUUUCGGACGGAAUUGCCGAUUACUUAGCGGCGGACGGGUGAGUAACGCGUGGAUAAUCUGCCUAUCAGACCGGGAUAACCCUUGGAAACAGGGGCUAAUACCGGAUACGAACAUCGGGACACAAGUUCUGAUGUUGAAAGGGGAUUUACCGCUGAUAGAUGAGUCCGCGUCCCAUUAGCUAGUUGGUGGGGUAAUGGCCUACCAAGGCGACGAUGGGUAGCCGGCCUGAGAGGGUGACCGGCCACACUGGGACUGAGACACGGCCCAGACUCCUACGGGAGGCAGCAGUGGGGAAUAUUCCGCAAUGGGCGAAAGCCUGACGGAGCGACGCCGCGUGAGGGAAGAAGGUCUUCGGACUGUAAACUCUGUUGUAAGGGAAGAACACGUAUGAGAGUAACUGCUCGUACCUUGACGGUACCUUAUUAGAAAGCCACGGCUAACUACGUGCCAGCAGCCGCGGUAAUACGUAGGUGGCAAGCGUUGUCCGGAAUUAUUGGGCGUAAAGCGCGCGCAGGCGGUCCUUUAAGUCUGAUGUGAAAGCCCACGGCUCAACCGUGGAGGGUCAUUGGAAACUGGGGGACUUGAGUACAGAAGAGGAAAGCGGAAUUCCAAGUGUAGCGGUGAAAUGCGUAGAGAUUUGGAGGAACACCAGUGGCGAAAGCGGCCUUCUGGUCUGUAACUGACCCUGAGGCGCGAAAGCGUGGGGAACAAACAUGAUUAGAUUCCCUGGUAGU
Molecule: ribosomal RNA, 747 nt
Filed under: uncultured bacterium
Lineage: Bacteria
Description: bacterial SSU rRNA
Rfam family: Bacterial small subunit ribosomal RNA
Source: RNAcentral